UCUUGGAGCUCGUCUGCCGGCGGCUCAUUCUGGCCUUGGCUUCGGCCCCGGCUACGUCCGCCGAGCGCAGGCUGCACCGCCCCGGCGUACCCGCUCUCCGGCAGGCUCUCGGCGCGUCGCGCGGUCGCCUGCUUGCCCAGCACCUCUUGCCCCAGUUCCCAGGAGCGGGGAUGCAGAUGCUGCUAAUGGUCCGGGUGGGCGCCGCUGCUGCCGCUGCUGGCUUUCCCGGGACUGCUUGUUGCCUCCGCUCCGGCAGCUGCUGCUGCUGCCUGUGACUCGCCCCCUCCCUUUUCUUUCUUCUCUUUUUGCCUCCGUCCUCUUUCUCUGGUUGUGCGCGCGCGCGGGUUGCACGGUUUGCUUUGGCAGGAGCUCUCUCGUGUGUGCGCGUGUGAGUGUGCGUGUCUGGAGAGCGCCAGAGCCUUGCUCGCUCUCUGGGAGUCGAAGAAGAGAAAGAACCGAAGAGGCGGCGGCGGCGGCGCGGAGCCUGGGGCCGCGCAAUGAAGCUCCCACAUGCCCGCAGCUGCCGGGUCCGGCCGGCGAGCUAAUCAGCCAACCCCCGGGCUUGGGGCUCUGCGGCCCCCGGGACGCAGCCCUCAGCUGCCCGGCGCCGGCUCCGCCUGCGCGCCCCAGCUGUGCACUGGGGAAGGAGUUUGCGUGGCCCUCGCUCCCGGUCUCAGCACAGGGUGCGGACACCAGAGGAGACUCUCAGCUGGGAGAGAACCUCGGGAGAAGAAGAAAGAGGAGGGUUUGGCGGAGAAGAACCCACCCCUGGCCCUCGUGGCUGCCCCUACCUAUUCCAUCGAUCUCGCUUCCAGACGGAAAGGAGAGGGAAAGGAAGAAGAAGAAAAAGAAAGAGAAGGGGGUGGGGUGGGAGAACUGGAUAUAAAGACCGGCUGGGGGGAUGGUGGAAGAUUUUUGGUCUCUUCAGCAGCGUCUUUUCUUAAGCGGCGGCGGCGGCGGCAGCAGCAGCAACAGCAGCAGCAGCAGCAGCAGCAGCAGCAGCAGAAGCAGAAGCAGAAGCAGCCCCAGCUAUGACUGCCGCAUGUUAAUAGCUGCCGCUCGGGUCCCUCGGCUGCUGCUGGAGACAGAGCCUGACUCCGAAGUUGUGCAACUGUGGACUGGGAGAGACAUUUGAACCCUCCUCUCUCUUGGCUCCGUUUUUACCCCUUCAGUGCGUGUGAAGAUAGGAAACGUAAAGGAAGACGAGCAUUUGGUUCUUCUUCUUUUUUUUUUUUUUUUCCCUUCCCCUUUCUCCGUGGCUGUGUAGCAGAAGAAAAGGAGGAAAGAGAGACUUUUUGUUGUUUCCUUGGCUGGGGUAUCCACCCUCCUGCUGCCUCUCUGAGCUUUGGUUAUCAUCCUUUGCCGCGUGUGGUGGGGGUGUCUUCACUGGGGCCGGUCGGUAUUUUGCCCCGGGCUCUAUGGCUGGAUUGUGGAAACUGCACCCGGCUGCAGGUUGUUGAGCAACUGAUGGGACAAUCUCAGGGACCGGCGGUUACGAAAGUGUCAUCCUCUGGAGGGGGCUGAAAGGCAGACCAGGGGGCGCCUUCUCUACGCCUCCUGGGAGCCAGCGCUGAAGGCGGGAGCAGGCUGGAGGACCGACAGACACCGGGAUAUGUAUUAAAGUCUACACUUGCAAAUAUUUCUGAAGAUUAAAGCAUACUUGUCCUCUCAUUUUGGAAGAUCUAAUCACCAUGAUUCCCAGUUCUUACAUUAGAAGAUUUGAUCAGAUCUGUUCUUUGUUUCCUAGCAGCAUGUGUUUCCUAGCAGUCAUACAUUCCACAGGUCCUGAUGUCAUUAGAACUGUGUCUGUCAGUGUAUUGUGCUGUCUUUAGCUGAAGGUGAAUGUGUCAGAGUGCUUGAAUGCCAUUCAUUAGCACUUUAUCACUGAAUAUUCAAUAACCUGCUCCAUUGAUGUAUAUGGUUAACUGGACUAUUUCUAUGAACUCGGGGUAGAAGGAAUGUUUAGUAUAAAGGUUUAUGUGAACUAUAUCCAUUUUUUAGAAAGACAUGUUAGGCUGCAUCAGGCAUCAUUGGCCUGGAGUGAUAAGCCCACAUGUGUUUUGCCUGAUGGAGAAUUGCUUUUGAUGUCUUCUUUUAAGUUGCUUGGUGUGAUUAUCCUUCAAGUUGAGAGUGCUCUCAAAAUAUGAAUGGAGGGUCUUUUAGAAAUGAUUUUCUUCAUAAUGAUCUUCUUACAUUUUGGAGAUUUAACUAUUCCUUUCACUAGGAAUAAUAGUAUGAGAAUUACUAGUUCCAGCUAUUGUGCCUGGCAUUGUUUCUACCAAUUAGGAAAGGCAAAAUUUUGAUAAACUUGAUUUACGUUUGGUGAGCAAUAGCCAAGGAAAUCCUCAAUAGAAGACAAAAAAAAAAAAAA
This is a long non-coding RNA of Pteropus alecto (black flying fox), 2371 nucleotides long. RefSeq lists it as uncharacterized. The transcript is spliced from 3 exons. The record is from RefSeq and is a predicted model, not a curated record. Lineage: Eukaryota; Metazoa; Chordata; Mammalia; Chiroptera; Pteropodidae.